UCUCACUUCUGAAAAGAACAGUGUCCAUGCCGCCAUCUUGAAAGCAGAGACCAGGUCCACACCAGGCAUACCCAACCUGCCAGUACUUUGAUCUUGGACUUUCCAACCUCCAGAAUGGCAAAUUCCUCGAUUCAAGGAGGAACACCAGGUGGCUGUCUGGGGGUCAUCAAAGGUGACCUGAAAAGCCCUUUUCUGCACUGGAGACAUGACGUUGGAACAGGGACAACAUCUCUAAUAUCAGGAAGGGUACCAGAGGUGACUUGCUGGGAGAAAAGGGAGGAGGAGACACUCAUGAAGCCGGCGUAGACCCAAAACCCAGCUUGGACUCAAACCCAGCUGGGCCUCUCCAAGAUCAGCCAAACGCAGCCAGACUGCAGAC
Long non-coding RNA from Pongo pygmaeus (Bornean orangutan), 379 nucleotides. RefSeq lists it as uncharacterized. The record is from RefSeq and is a predicted model, not a curated record. The transcript has 3 exons. NCBI's taxonomy places the organism in Eukaryota, Metazoa, Chordata, Mammalia, Primates, Hominidae.